GGUAAGGUUGGUUCAGUGAGUUGUGUAGGCUUCUUGGCCACUCACCAAAUUCUUAAACACACUACCAUCAGAAGAAAGAAAUUUCAUACCAUUCAUUUCCUCAGCAGUGAUUUGCCUGUGAUGUGCAGCGAGCAGACUUCAGAAGCUGAUUUACACAGUUGGAGCACAGGAGGAGCCAGGGUGUCCUGGAGGGACAAGCUGGUUGAGGCUCCAGCGACAGGCUGAUCUAGGGGCUCCCAAGCACCUUUCCCACUGUGUGUGAUUUGCGGGUGGUUGAUGGAUUUGCAUUCGGGUUCCAGUCCUGCAUUUCUUAUAUUGCCUCUUAACACCCGACCUGGUGCUCCCAGUUUGGGUGCAGAUGUUGGAAUAAAGAACAGAGACACAGACACAUAGAGAGAACACCAUGUGACAAGUAAAGGCAGAGACUGGAAUGAUGUAUCUUCAAUAAGAAACAAGGAUUUCCUGCAACCUCCAGAAGGAUGAGUCAAGGAAAGCUCUUCCGAUGGAGCCUUCGGAGGGAGCAUGGUCCUAUUUGAUUUCAGACUUCUGGCCUCAAACACUUUGAGACAAUAGAUUUCUAUGGUUUGAAGUCACCCAAUUUGUGGCAACUUGUCAUGGUAACCCCAGGAGGCUAACACAUGAAUUCACAGUCUUAUUUUCUAGGAGGACGUAUAUCUUGGAGAAGGCAGCUAAUUUAAUUUUUCUCAGUCCUAGCACUUUUUAAUAUAGGGAUGGGGAAGGAUAUCAAUGCCCAGCAUUGUUUAACACAGAUAAGAGUUAAUUAUGUUAGUUUCAAUUCUGUUACUCUAUUUUUUCUUCACUAUCAAAAAGUAAUUUAAUUUCUGACAAAGUAGUAUGUUCAUAAAUCAAGCACAUAAGGGCACAUUUACAGCAAUGUAUUUAUAUGUGUAUAUUUACAUAUGCAUACACAUAUGUAUUUUUUAUAUUACAUGCUACAUGUAUGUUAGCUAGAUAGAUCUAUUUAAAGUUCAUUCAAAAACCCCAAAAUGUUUCUACUUGAAAUAUCCAUAAUAUUAAGAGUAGACUAGAUAAAUAAUAUUUGACUGAUUUAUCUAAACAUAUCUAUUUUAUUUCUAUAAAAACAUAAUAAUUCAUUAAAGAAAAAAUAAACAUAUAACUAGAAAGGAAGGUAUAAUUUUUAACAUGUAUCCAUCUCCUGAAACAGUUGGACAGAAGUGAUUAUUCACUAGUUGAUAAAUACUGUACCUUAGGUAUUCAGUUAUAAGAACAAACUAUUGCUUAGAUAUAGAACUGGAUUGGUGCCUGACAGAAAGUCAGCCUUUGAGAACCUUGAUAGUUCCAAAAAUAAGGUCAAUCUUCAACAUUCUCUCUAACAGGGGCCCUUUCUGGUAGACAUAGAUAAAAGCAAGCACAGAUAGUAAAUAGUGUAGAUUCCAAUGAAAUACAGGAGAAAAUCAGAAUGAAGAAACUAUGAUGUAGAUAGAAGAAGAGGAAAUUUAUUUUUUGAUGUCCUGAGAAGGAAAUGAACAGAUGAUAAAUCACCAAUUUGCUCUUAGGGAGGAUUACCAGAGUAAGGAAAAUGAAUUGGCAUGUGUCCUUAGGGAGGCAAAGCAGUGCUACAUCUGAAGUGUAUUAUUUUAGUUUCCAUAUUAAUGACUUAAUCUGUGUGGCAUAAGAAUUGAUUGUUUUCUGUUCUCUCUCUCCCGAACUCCCAUUUCUCUCUGUCUCUUUGUCUCUCACUCUCUCUCCAUUAUAUAAUGAUUCAGUUACUCAGCAAAUGUGACCCUGUUUCUUAUGCUUUUCCUGGAAGGAGGAAAUUUCUUCUUUCUUUUAUGAGUUCAUUGCCUGGGCUAAUAAUUAAAUUGACACAAGACAGAUUAAUAGGAGAAAAGAAAAAAACAAAUGUAAUUCAUAGGUAUGGAGGCCUUACAGAACUGGAACCUAAGAAGUGACAAGGAAGGUAGCUUUUACACCUUUUAGACAAAAAAGAAAAAAAAAAUGUGAGGAAUUAAUUGAACAAAUAAGCUUAGGCUUUAGUGCUUAAUUAGUGAGGAAUUCAAACAGUUUGGAGUAGCAAAUUACUAAAGAAGUAACAAGGUUUGUUUGUACACAUUUCAUGGCCCUGAAUUCCCUAUUUCUGGUGAUGAGUAUGCCUCUCUCUUGGUACAGGGAGGGAACAUUUUACAUUGGCCAUUUAUUUCCUGCUUUCAGAGGGGACAGAGAGAAGGAGGAUCAGAGUGUUCUUUUUACAUCGACCAAUUCUCAAGUAACUUUAAUGCAAAAUAGUAUGCCACCAUGGAAUAUUUUGGAGUGGCCUGCUCUGAGACCCAACACUUGUAAAUGGAGGACACUAACAAGAAUACAGUUGUAAGCAGCUGUAAAAAUUUUGGGAAAUGGUGAAAUUUUAGAUUGUAUGAAAAUAGUAAAUAUAAGUCCAUGGACAUGUAGUGAAUUUUAGUGAAUCAAAUAAUGUUUUAUCAAAAUUCCAAAGGUUUGAUUGACUAAUUCGAAUAGAAAACUGAUUCUUAAAAAAGAAAAUCAUGGUUACAUACUGGAAAUAAAGGAAAUACUGAUAUUACAGUGGAAUUUACAUUUCAUACCUAUGCUUUCUAGAAGAAAACACAACAAACAAACAAAUUAAAAAACACAGACAGCUGCAUUUCAACUUUGAAGAAGUGAUGGAUGUGGAAAGAAAGGGGAAAGGUGGGAUGGCAGAUGAUGAUAGUGUGUGAGAGAGUUGAUUUACACUAAUUUUGGUAGUUGAUAAUAAAUGAAGCUUGUGAUAGCCUUGGUUGGAAUAAGGUCCAAAUUAAAUGUGAAUACUCUUAAAUUUUAAAAUGACCCAUUAACUGACACCUGGGUCUGUCCUGGAUUUUCUGUCCUCACUACCCUGAUCUACUUUCCCUCCUUCUUCACCCUUCAUUGUGUCCUGAAGGCUGAUCUGUAUGAACUUGAUCAAUAAGAUCUCUUCUUUUCUGGCUUUGCAUUUGUUUUGGCCAAUGGAGAGCCCUGGUCAGAAAUCAGAAGAGUGUGAGUUUGUUCCAGUUUUCCUUAAUUAUCUUUCCUAUGUUACCACCUGGAGCUGAAUGUCUCACUACCCUGUAAGGAGAGUCUUUCUACACACUCUCUUCUCAAGUUCAUUAACCACUCUUUGUCUUUGAAUCUAAUAGAUUUGUGCUCUAACUAGCCCUAAGAUAUUGUACUAUCUGUUUCAGUUCCACUACAUUCUAUCCACAUGUCUGUAAAUAGUCCCUUUCUUAAUAUCUUUUUUCAAAUUUAUUGUUUCCCAACUUUAUUGAGUAAUAAUUGAUAAAUGUAAUUAAAUAAAGUUGGAGUAUACAACGUGGUGAUAUGAUAUACAUAUAUAUUAUGUAAUGAUUACCAAGAUCAAGGUAAUGAACACAUCCUUCAUCACAUAUAGUUAACUCUUUUUUUGUGUGUGUGGUGUGGUGAAAAUGUUUAAGAUCUAUUCAAUAACUUUCAAGUAUACAUCAUUGUAUUAUUAACUAGAGUCACCAUGUUGUACAUCAGAUCCUCUGAACUUCCUCUUAAUCAUCUGCUUCUUGCUGGACCCUGAGUUGCACAGGGUCUUGAGCCACUUAGUUAUAAUUUCACAGAAAUUUUGGAGUUUUCUCUUAAAGGCAUAAUAAAGACAUUCAAAAGGCAAUAAUGUUUUUAAGAUUGGACUCUCAAAAAAUAAAAGAAAACUUGAGACUUCCAUGAAAACAUUUUUGUUGUAAUUUUAAUUCAUAAUAAAUACUAUUCCAAAUGUAAAGAUAUCUCUGAAGUGCACAUUUUCAUUAGAAAGAGAACAUUAUCUUCUCUUUCUAAGAAUCCUACAUUAGUUGGUUGAAAGCCUAUUCACAAAUAUUUUCCUUCCCAAUUCACCUUUCUCUUUUUACCAUCUACAUUUUUUAUCCAUUGCUUUAUGCACUCAGUAGGUACUUCUAAAACCAACCAUGAUAGUCCAUACAUAUUUAUUCUUUACUUAGCUAGAUUUACCUCUACAUAAAAUAAAUAAACAAAUAAAACAAGUAUUAUGAUUCCCAUUCAGGAAAUUAUGAUGAGUGUAUGAUAUAAACUACAUAAUCUGUUCUAAAGUCAGGUACAUUUACUUUAUAUAUAAAAUAGCAAACAGAUGUUAGAUAUAUAGAUAAACAAAUGAUAGAUAGAUGAUAAAUGAUAGAUAGAUGAUAAAGAGGAUUGUAAACUGGAAAAAAAAAGAGACAAAAUAAAGAUGUCUGAGAACUAGGCAUGAAACAGGAACAUUAAACAUGGGUUCAGUCCUCUUGCCUGCAGAGCAAUGGAUUUAAAAGGGGUCAAUGGGGCCAGUGAUUUUACCUUAGUGGGGUGAUAAGAAGCAACAUCAUCCCAAAUGCGAUAGGUGACUAGAGUAAGAAUCACUGCAAAGCUGUGUGGUUUAUUGUUGCUUAACAAAGGCAUAUUUUGAUAUCUGAACUAAAGAAGCAACUGAGAGCUGAUAACAGCUGGAUCAUUUCAGUAUUAUACAGACACCAAAGGAAAUAAUAAGGAAAUAUAUUAGAGCAAAAAAAUUGAUACAAAAUUUUCCUUUACAUUAAUUUUCCAACAUUCUUUGUUUAAUGAAUUUAAGAUAUGAUUACUUAGAUCAUAUAGUUUUAAAAUUUCAGAACUAAAAAGGCUAUGAGCAAUUAUUAUGCUAAAUAUAUUUUCAGGAUCUCAUAGGUAAUUAAUAAAGAAGACAUGAUUGCAAGUGUUUUGCUUCAGCUUUCCCACCUUUUGCACAGAUCAUCUUGUGCUUUCCUUAAUUAACUCUGUAAACGUAGAUACUUAUGUGAGGCUUUUCAUACUUACGUGAGGCUUUUCUCACUUCCACAACACAGCUGUUUUCAUUCACUAACACUUUAAUUAUGACAGAAAAUUUGUCUAAGUCCUAAAUUAGUGAUAGAUUAAAGUACCAGUGGAGUAAAUAUUUCAAAAGUUUAACCAAUCAAGAUUUUUUUUUGAGAAUGUAACAACUAGAAAUGGAUAAGCAGAAAAAAUAACUCAUUAAAAUAUUUUACUUGUCCAUUUCUCAUUUAUUUAUUAAAAAAUAUGUCAAGUAGUUAUUAUGAACCUGAUACAGAUUUAGAUGUUAUUAACACAAAUAUUGAAGAGGAAAUUUAAAAAUAAAAUGAUUUCAGAUAGUGAUAAGUGAACUAAAGAAAUUAAAAUGUUAAUGAGCCUCAGCAAAAUCAAAGUCAAAGAAUGCUAGUUCAUCAGAUAAAGCAACUCUUGUUACAUGAUAAUUGAGUAGAGACAUAAUUGCUGGGAUAGUCAAAGUCAAAAGAUUAAAAUAAUAACAAAGUCUCUAUAGUGAGUAAAAAGAGAAGCAAAAACAAGUGCAAGAACAAAAACUUGGUAUAACCUGAGAACCACAGUAAAGAUAGUGUGGGUGCAGCAAAACUGAGAAAAAAGAUCAGCUUAUGUAGGAAAUUUUAGACCAUGUUAAAGUUAUAUGGGUGUUAUUCAAAGGAAAAGUGGUAAACUUUUGCAGGUUUUUGUUUCAUUACUUUAAAAAAAAAAUCAGGGUUGAAGAAUACAUGAUUUGGGAGUUUAAAAGUUUACUCUCUUACUCUAGUCUUGAAAAAAAAGUUCAGACAGUAGAAGAGAAAACAAUUCUCAAAAACUUAAAUAUUCUGAUGUAUACAAAUGGUUGUGAAAUUUAUGAAAAACGGAACUGUUGUAUCAGUCAUCAAGAAGAUGCAAAUUGUGGGGAAUAUGUCAUGUAUUCAGAAACAUGACAUUUGUGAGUGUAAAUUAGUAGUCAGUUUGAAAAAUUAUGAGUAUCCAUUAAAACUGCACAUUUGCCUAAUCUAUACCUUUGCAAAAUAAUUCCAGGUUACACUCAACAGGAACAAGCACAUACAUACACCAGUGGACAUAUUCAAGAAUGUUCAAAAGAACCCUAUUUAUCAUAGCCCUCAACUGGAAACUACUUCAGGGUCCAUCAGUAGAAAAUAGACCCUAUAUUAUGCUGUAAUAACUCAAUGAGAAUGCAGAAACUAGGUACAUUCACCUUAAUAAAAUGAUGGACAAGAAAUAAUAUUCAUAGGAUUUCUAUGUGGUAAAAGACUGUACAUGGAGUAAAAAGAAGAUAUUGCUGUAAUUAGGAAUAAUGGUUGUGGCUUGCACUAGUUGUGGGAGGGGGCGGAAUGGUUGGAUAUUCACCAUAUAUUUUGGAAGGGCAACAUUUAUAUAACAUGUUAGGUUAAAUAUAAUUAUUUGUAAAACUGAAUUUGGGUCUUACUUCUAGAUAUGCAUGAAAGAUGUCUCAGGAAUAAGAUAAAGAAUAUAACAAUAGAAACUAAAGUUACAAUAUUUUAUUUAUGAACUGUUAACAAAACAUAUUUGAAUUUUAUGAAAAAAUCCCAUCUUUUAAAUUAUUUUAAGGUUUUAGAAAAAAUAACAUUGCAAUUCUUAAUUUGUUC
This is a non-coding RNA of Delphinapterus leucas (beluga whale), 6431 nucleotides long. NCBI's taxonomy places the organism in Eukaryota, Metazoa, Chordata, Mammalia, Artiodactyla, Monodontidae. The record is from RefSeq and is a predicted model, not a curated record.